UACGGAGGGGGCUAGCGUUGUUCGGAAUUACUGGGCGUAAAGCGUACGUAGGCGGCUUUGUAAGUUAGAGGUGAAAGCCCAGAGCUCAACUCUGGAAUUGCCUUUAAGACUGCAUCGCUUGAAUCGUGGAGAGGUUAGUGGAAUUCCGAGUGUAGAGGUGAAAUUCGUAGAUAUUCGGAAGAACACCAGAGGCGAAGGCGGCCUACUGGGUCAGUACUGACGCUGAGCCGCGAAAGCCAGGGGAGCGAACGGG
RNAcentral lists this ribosomal RNA (253 nucleotides) under uncultured bacterium. RNAcentral describes it as "partial 16S ribosomal RNA". It matches the Rfam family "Bacterial small subunit ribosomal RNA", at positions 524 to 776 of the family's 1533-position model. The record is from RNAcentral.